CGCAGUGAGGAAUAUUGGACAAUGGAGGCAAUUCUKAUCCAGCCAUGCCGCCGUGCAGGAWGACUGCCCUAUGGGUUGUAAACUGCUUUUAUACAGGAAGAAACUUACYCACGUGGUGUGURACUGACGGUACUGUAAGAAUAAGGAUYGGCUAAYUCCKUGCCAGCAGCCGCGGUAAUACGGAGGAUCCAASCGUUAUCCGGAAUCAUUGGGUUUAAAGGGUCCKUAGGUUGAUAAUUAAGUCAGAGGUGAAAUCYUGCAGCUCAACUGUAAAAUUGCCUUUGAUAMYGGUUAUCYUGAGUUAUUAUGAAGUAGUUAGAAUAUGUAGUGUAGCGGUGAAAUGCAUAGWUAUUACAUAGAAUACCAAUUGSGAAGGCAGAUUAYUAAUAAUCAACUGACAMUGAUGGACGAAAGGCGUGGGUAGSGAACAGGAUUAGAUACCCUGGUAGUCCACGCCGUAAACGAWGGUUACUAGCUGYUUGGACCUUGUGUCUGAGUGGCUAASCGAARGUGAUAAGUAACCCRCCUGGGGAGUACGUUCCCAUGAAUGAACUCAAGGGAAUGGACGG
This 569-nucleotide ribosomal RNA is filed under the name uncultured Flavobacteriia bacterium. Its description in RNAcentral is "partial 16S ribosomal RNA". It matches the Rfam family "Bacterial small subunit ribosomal RNA", at positions 350 to 916 of the family's 1533-position model. Lineage: Bacteria; Pseudomonadati; Bacteroidota; Flavobacteriia. The record is from RNAcentral.